Molecule: long non-coding RNA, 3465 nt
Filed under: Lactuca sativa (garden lettuce)
Lineage: Eukaryota; Viridiplantae; Streptophyta; Magnoliopsida; Asterales; Asteraceae
Description: long non-coding RNA (LSAT_LNC009705)
Source: RNAcentral
UCAAAACCUCAUCAUUGAUCUGGAUCCGGUUCGAUAUGUUCCCUUUCUACUACCUCUGAUUGAGUGCCUGAAAUACUCCCCUCUUACCAUUGUUAUGUUUCAAGUUGGGAAUGUUCCACUAUCGAUUCUGUCCAAAGCAUACACAACGGCCAACUAUGUCAAGGAAGAACAACGGAUAUACUUCAACAUCCAUAAUCAUACAACCUCUAUUUCCAAGACCCGUUUUUGCAAUCUGUUAGGGCUUCCUCAGUCUUAAAACAUGGUCAACCCGGAAACCAUCUCCAACGCUGCAAUCUUGGAAAUGUUUUAUCAAAUGGGGUAUAAGGAAGCUCUCGCUGCUGUUUCCAAGUUCAAGAAACCCAAUCUUCCACCUACAUGGAAUGCCCUUUUCACUAUCUUGAUCAAAGCUUUUUCUGGAAGGGUCACUGGCAAUGACUGUGCGAGCAAGCUCUUCAUGAUUAUGAUGUAUGGCCUGUAUACUGGUCAAAAUGUUGACUAUGGUUCUAUCCUCUGCGCUCAACUUAUCCAGAGCACUCACUAUGUUACUUGUCACAGUGAAAUCUCAUGUGCAAGAUUCUGGACCAUAUUCGUUAACAAAGCACUUCAGCAGCUCAAAAUUCCAGUGAUUUCUUAUGCACUGAUGGCUUCCAUUGCAACAUUCUAUACAACAGGUAUCAUUGUGGCUGGCACGUCAAAGUUUUCCUUCAUCGGCUUGAUUCCGGAGAUUAUGUUUCGUCAUGUUCCUCCCUCCAGUGAAAUUAUAGAGGGUUAUCGUGCGCUUACACCUUUAGGACCUCAUCCAUGAACUGACAAAUUUCAAGCAAUUGUCUCUGAGGCAGAUAAAGCCAAGAAAAGGGGGCAGAGGGUAGAAGAAAGCCACCAAGAAAGAUACUGCGAAAGAAGGACCUUCUAAGGCUGCAAAACCUCCUUCUUUAAACAUUUGAUCGUAGUCAACAGGAACCCACACAGACACUUCUUAGUCUCUCUUCACUAUGAAGAAAGAAAUGUUUGCCUGGGAUCACUAGUUUUAUGUCUCUAGCUAGACAUCACAACAUCCCAAAGAUAAACUUCAUUUUAUUUCUUUUUCUUUAACAACCUUGCACGAAUAUCCUAUUGAUAUUCCAAAGGUCUAGUUCGUGGUUACAAAUAAUUUUUAGGUUCACAGUUGUAUGAAUUCAGCAUGCUUUCUCUACUGCGAAAAAAGAUGAGGUGACACGGAAAUUUUGAAAGAUAAAAAUUCAAAUGGGCGCGUGCAAAGUUGAACGGACAGAUAUUGAUACGCCGCGUGAUGCACGCUUCUGACUUAUCACAACUAUCAAAUCGCGCUUUUUCAGGCGACAGUUUAGUAUUCGAGAUAAUCUAUCUCCAGAUUUUCCUCACCAAAUCAUAUCUUAUAUAAGGGUUUUGACGGUUCCAUAUUUCUCUACCACUUUCCAAUUCUCGCAACGAUUUCUGGUGAUUACGAAGCUCUCCACUGCUCUUCUUCUUCUUCAAGCUUCAUCAAUGGUGGUUUCAUCUAAGAAUAUUUCUGUUCAAGACCAAACUGCUCAUUUAUCUCUUCUAGCCGUUAAGAAACAUCAAAACCUCAUCAUUGAUCUGGAUCUGGUUCGAUAUGAUCCCUUUCUACUACCUCUGAUUCAGUGCUUGAAAUACUCCCUUCUUACCAUUGUUAUGUUUCAAGUUGGGAAUGUUCCACUACCGAUUCUGUCCAAAGCAUACACAACGGCCAACUAUGUCAAGGAAGAACAACGGAUAUACUUCAACAUCCAUAAUCAUACAACCUCUAUUUCCAAGACCCGUUUUUGCAAUCUGUUAAGGCUUCCUUAGUCUUAAAACAUGGUCAACGCAGAAACCAUCUCCAACGCUGCAAUCUUGGAAAUGUUUUAUCAAAUAGGGUACAAGGAAGCUCUCUCUGCUGUUUCCAAGUUCAAGAAACCCAAUCUUCCACCUACAUGGAAUGCCCUUUUCAGUAUCUUGUUCAAAGCUUUUUCUAGAAGGGUCACUGGCAAUGACUGUGCCAGCAAGCUCUUCAUGAGUCUGAUGUAUGGCCUGUAUACUGGUAAAAAUGUUGACUAUGGUUCUAUCCUCUGGGCUCAACUUAUGCAGAGCACUCACUCUGUUACUCGUCACAGUGAAAUCUCUUGUGCAAGAUUUUUGACCAUCAUCGUUAACAAAGCACUUCAGCAGCUCAAAAUUCCAGUGAUGUCUGAUGCAAUGAUGGCUUCCAUUGGACAUUCUAUACAACAUGUAUCAUUAUGGGUCACACAUCAAAGUUUUCCUUCAUGGGCUCGAUUCUGGAGAUUAUGUUUCUUGAUGUUCCUCCCUCCAAUAAAAUUCUAGAGGUUUAUCGUGCUCUUACUCCUUCAGGACCUCGUCCAUGAACUAUAAAAUUUCAAGAAAUUUUGGCUGAGGCAGAUAAAGCCAAGAAAGGGGGCAGAGGGUCAAAGAAAGCCACCAAGAAAGAUACUGCGAAAGAAGGACCUUCUGAGGCUGCGAAACCUCCCUCAUCAAACAUUUGAGUAUAGUCAAUAGGAACCCACACAUACACUUCUUAGUCUCUCUUGACUAUGAAGAAAGAGAUGUUUGCAUGGGAUCAAUUGUUUUAUGUCUCUAGUUAGAAAUCACAACAUCCCACAGAUAAACUUCGUUUUAUUUCUUUUUAUUUGACAAUCUUGCACGGAUAUCCUAGUGAUUUUCCAAAGGUCUAGUUCGUGGUUACAAAUAAUUUUCAGGUUCACAGUGGUAUAAAUUCAACGUGCUUUCUCAACUGCGAAAGAAGAUGAGCUGACGUGAAAAUUCUAAAAGAUAAAAAUUCAAAUGGGUGCGUGCAAAGUUGAACAGACAGAUAUGGAUACGGCGUGUGACGUAUGCUUCUUACUUAUCACAGCUAUCCAAUCGUGCUUUUUCAGGCAACGGUUUAGUAUUCGAGAUAAUCUCUCUCCGGAUUUUCCUCACCAAAUCAAAUCUUAUAUAAGGGUUAUGACGGUUCCAUAUUUCUCUACCACUUUCCAAUUCUCUCAACGAUUUCUGGUGAUUACAAAGCUCUCCACUGUUCAUCUUCUUCUUCAAGCUUCAUCAAUGGUAGCUUCAUUUGAGAAUAUUUCUGUUCAAGACCAAACUGCUCACUCAUCUCUUCUGGCCGUUAAGAAACAUAAAAACCUCAUCAUUGAUUUGGAUCCGGUUCGAUAUGAUCCCUUUCUACUACCUCUGAUUGAUUGCCUGAAAUACUCCCCUCUUACCAUUGUUAUGUUUCAAGUUGGGAAUGUUCCACUAUCGAUUCUGUCCAAAGCAUACACAACGGCCAACUAUGUCAAGGAAGAACAAUGGAUAUACUUCAACAUCCAUAAUCAUACAACCUCUAUUUCCAAGACCCGUUUCUGCAAUCUGUUAGGGCUUCCUCAGUCUUAAAACAUGGUCAACCCGGAAACCAUCUCCAACGCUGCUAUCUUGGAAAUAGUUUUAUCA